GGGGACACCAGCCAGUAUGCUCCAAGCUGCAGGGACAUCUGAUAACUCUCCAAGAUGCAGAGACGUCUGAUCUUUAAGAAAGUUAUGAAGCCGUGUGGCAUUUCUCAUGACAGAAACUAUUUGAUAAUCUGUGGAGAAAAUAAGUAAGCACCAUGCGAUCACUUGGAAGAAGAAAGCAUCCACUGAGGCAAGGAGGUCUUCGGUCCUUUUAUGGGAAAACUUUAUGGGAGAACUUCUAUUGUUAAAGGAAGCGUUUUGCAAGAAGCUUCCUUCUCUGUGGAACUUAGUGGUGGGAGCUGAGCAUUGUUGUUAACAACAAUUAAAAUAUUUUCUCAGC
Molecule: long non-coding RNA, 337 nt
Filed under: Rattus norvegicus (Norway rat)
Lineage: Eukaryota; Metazoa; Chordata; Mammalia; Rodentia; Muridae
Description: long non-coding RNA NONRATT006549
Source: RNAcentral